This 253-nucleotide ribosomal RNA is filed under the name uncultured bacterium. RNAcentral's name for it is "partial 16S ribosomal RNA". It matches the Rfam family "Bacterial small subunit ribosomal RNA", at positions 524 to 776 of the family's 1533-position model. The record is from RNAcentral.
UACGAAGGGAGCGAGCGUUAUUCGGAAUCACUGGGCGUAAAGCGUGCGUAGGCGGACAAGAAAGUCAGAAGUGAAAUCCCAAGGCUUAACCAUGGAAUUGCUUUUGAAACUUCUUGUCUGGAGUAUGGUAGAGGAUAGCGGAAUUCCGAGUGUAGAGGUGAAAUUCGCAGAUAUUCGGAGGAACACCAGUUGCGAAGGCGGCUAUCUGGACCAUUACUGACGCUGAGGUACGAAAGCAUGGGGAUCAAACAGG